GCAGGACGGCCCCAGGGUUGGCCUGUGCUGAUGGUGCCACCUGGUGGUAGACAUGGGAACGCCCUCACCUGAGAUUUCCUCUCCGUGACCCUUCUUCCCCCUCUAGGGGUCCUGGGCUGCCCUGAGGCCACCGCCUAGCAAGAUCAAGAUAGGGCUUGAGCGGCAGUGGGAUAGGGCAGUGGGGGUUCCGGGGGGGUCCGGUGCAGGCAGAACCAAGAGUGUGCCGGCGGAGGGCUGUCGGUACAGGGUGCAGGGCGUGGCGGCUGCAGGACCUCAGCUUGCCUCUUUAAAUCCCUUCCUGGGCACCGCGGUGGCCCGGCCCUUUCCCCUCGUGCUGUUUCUGCUGGAAACGCCGCACAGUCUCCUCGGGGGCAGCCGCCAGCGGAAACGGUUAUUGGCCGCCAGGCAAGCCAGUCCCAUCCUUCCCAGCAACUGGGACUUUCCGGGCAGGGCUCCCCAGCGCGGGUUCAGCUAAUUAAGGAAGCAAUUAGCCUCCCCUGAGGCUAUUCAUGCUUCCUCACCCACAGUUCUCAGGUUCUGUGAGACCAGAGCCUCAGUCUCCCGUGAGCAGAGGGUGUGUGUGUGGCUGCCACUAUUCUGCAGACACGCUGGCUCCACCCCAGAGAGUUGCAGGGCCAGGAAAUCUGCAUUUAAACAGACCCUGGCUCUCACACUUCGGAAACUGCCCGAAGCACCUCUCAAAUAUGGGACAGGUGCUUAGGCCGAAAAUCAGGAAUCUCUUGAAUGAAUGCAUGAAGGUGGAGCCCUUUCCCUUAAUGCGCAGGUGAAAAGGGCACCUCGGUGGAUUCUACUAAAUUUAAUAGAAGACCCAAGACGGGGUGGGGGAGACGUGCUUUGUGCUCACCUGGCUGGUUCAUGGGCAGGUGGCCUGGAGGACCCAGCCCUGGCAGCUGUGGGGUAGCUCCAGCCUGGGCCGGACAGCUUCUUUCAUCGCAGGCACCACUGCGGACAUUGCUGGGAGGAAGAGGAGGGAGAAGCGACGGGCUUCAUUAGGAACGGAAAUGCCAAGAUUAGUGAAAGAAUGAAAAGAGUCAAAACAGCCUAGAAAAGGCUUCAAUGAUCCUCAAACUGGAUGAUCGAAUCCCGAAUAAUUGGGAAUCAACAGUAAAGGCCAAAGCUUUCGAUGGAUUGGACGAGGCGCGUCCACCCUGGGGAGGGCCAUCAUUUUAUUCAGUCUACUGAUGCAAAUGCUUAUCUCUUCUGGAAACACCUUCACAGACAGACCCAGAAUAUAGUUGAACCAAAUACUGGGCACCUCAUGGCUCCAACAGGUUGACACAAAAAAUGAACCAUUGCAGAAAACGAAGAACAGUCACCAACUCCCACCCAUGCAGCUGGCUCAUUUGCUGGGCUGCCCUCCCCAGCAGGUGGCACAGGAAUCCCUGCCUUGGCAGGGAGGAGGCCUGGGGUGUGUGCAGGUACCCAUGGGAAGUUUCUUUGCCAUGGGGAAAGCCAGAGUCACCCCUUGCUUGAACACAAGAGUUGGAGGUUUCAGUGAGCUGAGAUUACGCUAUUGCACUCCAGCCUGGGCGGCAGAGUGAGACUCUGUCUCUAGAUAAAUAAAUUAAAUAAAUAAAUAAAUAUAAUUUAAUAUAAAUAACUAGAAAUUUUUCAAUACUUGCAUCUCUGUAGGUUACCUCUGGAAGUGCAGGGCUUUGUCUUUUUGGAUUAACUCAGAAAUUAGACCUUCAGAAAACAACAUCAGCUCUGAUUCUCUGCACCCUUGAUGCUGCCGGUGGCGACUGCGGCUUCCUGAUGGAAAUGUAGACCUGAACAUAAGUCGCAGAAAAAUGCAGACUUGAGUUGGAGCUAAGCUGACUCAGAGCUGCCCUAGAAAGAGGCCCCGUGGCAAAGAACCAAAGGCACCCAGCAACACGAGUGAGGGUGGAAGUGGCUCUUUCCCCAUUCCAGCCUCGCGGUGACCGCAGCCCUGGCUGACACCUUGCUUGCAGCCUGGUGAGAGACAGCAGCCCGAGGACCCUGCUAAGCUGCACCCAGGCUCCUGACCCAUGGAAACUGUGAGAUGAUAAACAUGUACUGCUUAAGCUGAGAUUCGGGCUAAUUUGUUACACAGUCAUAGACAUCGUUUUUUGUUGUUGUUGUUUUUUGAGAUGGAGUCUCACUCUGUCGCCCAGGCUGGAGUGCAGUGGCACAAUCUCAGCUCACUGCAACAUCCACCUCCCAGGUUCAAGCGAUUCUCGUGCCUCAGCCUCCCAAGUAGCUGGGAUUACAGGCAUCUGCCACCAUGCCCGGCUAAUUUUUUUGUAUCUUUAGGAGAGACAGGGUUUCACCAUGUUGGCCAGCUGGUCUCAAACUCCUGAGCUCAAGAGAUCUGCCCACCUUGGCCUCCCAAAGUGCUGGGAUUACAGGCAUGAGCCACUGUGCCCGGCCUGUUACACAGUCAUAGACAUCUAUAAAAUACUCAACACGGUGCCGGCGCAUGGCAAGCAUCAGUUACUGACCACGGUGACCCUUCUGUGUACACCAGGGGAACUCAAAAUACUCAGGAAAUCUAAGCAUAUAAGCCUAGUCACCAGGCUGUCGACAUGACCCUUAACAAUGAACCUGUGUCUUUUGCCACCUCAUGAUGUCAUAGAAGAAGAGCAGCAUCAAUGUUAAGAGUCUGGAGGAGGGACUAGAUGCUGUGGCUCACACCUGUAAUCCCAGCACUUUGGGAGGCCGAGGCAGGUGGAUCACCU
RNAcentral lists this long non-coding RNA (2720 nucleotides) under Homo sapiens (human). Its description in RNAcentral is "HSALNT0278385". The record is from RNAcentral. Lineage: Eukaryota; Metazoa; Chordata; Mammalia; Primates; Hominidae.